CCUUUCCUGAGUGCCCAGGAUCCUAGAAUUCUCUUCUUAAUAGACUCCAGCUUGCUGCCAGGACCUGCAUGGGUCCUACCCUCGAGCCUGCCUUCUAAACCUGGAAUCUGGAGUUCAGAGUGUGUGCAAACAGGUAUCAAUCAUCAAAUGGAAGAGAAGCGAUUUAUGGACUACUUGUUGGGAAGGUAGGCAGAAGAGAGAUCCAGAGUUGUCUUUUGACCAUUAAAGGAAAAUGUCCAGGAGGAGAGAAGUUAGAGUGUGUGCUCUCAUACAGCAUCUACAACUUCAAAGACAAAUGCAGAAAACAUUGUUUUAGCCUGGGGGCUAAAAUGCAGCCAUCAUCAUCAUCAAGUUUAUAGAUGACACUAACUGGAAGAAGUGCAGGAGGGAGUUUCAGACAGGAAUAAUUUCAAGGUAAAGACCAGGAGAGAAC
Molecule: long non-coding RNA, 433 nt
Filed under: Cavia porcellus (domestic guinea pig)
Lineage: Eukaryota; Metazoa; Chordata; Mammalia; Rodentia; Caviidae
Description: lncRNA (ENSCPOG00000035739.1)
Source: RNAcentral